GACGAACGCUGGCGGCGUGCUUAACACAUGCAAGUCGAACGGAAAGGCCCUGCUUUUGUGGGGUGCUCGAGUGGCGAACGGGUGAGUAACACGUGAGUAACCUGCCCUUGACUUUGGGAUAACUUCAGGAAACUGGGGCUAAUACCGGAUAGGAGCUCCUGCUGCAUGGUGGGGGUUGGAAAGUUUCGGCGGUUGGGGAUGGACUCGCGGCUUAUCAGCUUGUUGGUGGGGUAGUGGCUUACCAAGGCUUUGACGGGUAGCCGGCCUGAGAGGGUGACCGGCCACAUGGGGACUGAGAUACGGCCCAGACUCCAACGGGAGGCAACGGUGGGGAAUAUGGAACAAUGGGCGGAAGCCGAAUGCAGCAACGCCGCGUGCGGGAUGACGGCCUUCGGGUUGUAAACCGCUUUCGCUUGUGACGAAGCGUGAGUGACGGUAAUGGGUAAAGAAGCACCGGCUAACAACGU
RNAcentral lists this ribosomal RNA (467 nucleotides) under uncultured bacterium. RNAcentral's name for it is "partial 16S ribosomal RNA". It matches the Rfam family "Bacterial small subunit ribosomal RNA", at positions 28 to 506 of the family's 1533-position model. The record is from RNAcentral.